This 69-nucleotide transfer RNA is filed under the name Ictidomys tridecemlineatus (thirteen-lined ground squirrel). RNAcentral describes it as "Spermophilus tridecemlineatus (thirteen-lined ground squirrel) tRNA". It matches the Rfam family "tRNA". From Rfam's summary of the family: Transfer RNA (tRNA) molecules are approximately 80 nucleotides in length. Their secondary structure includes four short double-helical elements and three loops (D, anti-codon, and T loops). Further hydrogen bonds mediate the characteristic L-shaped molecular structure. tRNAs have two regions of fundamental functional importance: the anti-codon, which is responsible for specific mRNA codon recognition, and the 3' end, to which the tRNAs corresponding amino acid is attached (by aminoacyl-tRNA synthetases). tRNAs cope with the degeneracy of the genetic code in two manners: having more than one tRNA (with a specific anti-codon) for a particular amino acid; and 'wobble' base-pairing, i.e. permitting non-standard base-pairing at the 3rd anti-codon position. RNAcentral also lists the same sequence under 1 other name. Lineage: Eukaryota; Metazoa; Chordata; Mammalia; Rodentia; Sciuridae. The record is from Rfam by way of RNAcentral.
GGGGUUGUGGCUUAGUGGUAGAGCACUCACCUAGCACUUGGGAGGCGCUGGGUUCAAUCCUCAGCACCA